RNAcentral lists this long non-coding RNA (233 nucleotides) under Ananas comosus (pineapple). Its description in RNAcentral is "long non-coding RNA (ACOM_LNC016025)". Lineage: Eukaryota; Viridiplantae; Streptophyta; Magnoliopsida; Poales; Bromeliaceae. The record is from RNAcentral.
CCCUGAUAUGUUCUGCGCUCUUACAAUUCAACUUUUUUUUUUCUCUUACCAUGUCGUGUUCUAAGAUUAAUUCGUACAAAGUAAAAUCUACAAAUAGAAAAGAAUAAGUUCGAGAAAGUAAGUCUGAUAGAAAGAUUUCAGAGUGUGAAAAAUAAAACAUUCCAGUUAUUAGAAAUUCAUAUAUAGUUAGAAUUUGUAAUAUUAUUCUUUUUUUUUUCUUUUUUUUUUUUUUN